UGAGGAAUAUUGGUCAAUGGGCGAGAGCCUGAACCAGCCAAGUAGCGUGCAGGAUGACGGCCCUAUGGGUUGUAAACUGCUUUUAUGUGGGGAUAAAGUGCGUGACGUGUCAUGAAUUGCAGGUACCACAUGAAUAAGGACCGGCUAAUUCCGUGCCAGCAGCCGCGGUAAUACGGAAGGUCCGGGCGUUAUCCGGAUUUAUUGGGUUUAAAGGGAGCGUAGGCUGUCUAUUAAGCGUGUUGUGAAAUUUACCGGCUCAACCGGUGGCUUGCAGCGCGAACUGGUCGACUUGAGUAUGCAGGAAGUAGGCGGAAUUCAUGGUGUAGCGGUGAAAUGCUUAGAUAUCAUGACGAACUCCGAUUGCGCAGGCAGCUUACUGUAGCAUAACUGACGCUGAUGCUCGAAAGUGCGGGUAUCAAACAGG
This 424-nucleotide ribosomal RNA is filed under the name Fusobacteriota bacterium. RNAcentral's name for it is "Fusobacteria bacterium partial 16S ribosomal RNA". It matches the Rfam family "Bacterial small subunit ribosomal RNA", at positions 355 to 776 of the family's 1533-position model. The record is from RNAcentral. Lineage: Bacteria; Fusobacteriati; Fusobacteriota.